AACGAACGCUGGCGGCAUGCCUAACACAUGCAAGUCGAACGAGACCUUCGGGUCGAGUGGCGCACGGGUGCGUAACGCGUGGGAACCUGCCCUUAGGUUCGGAAUAACUCCCCGAAAGGGGUGCGAAUACCGGAUAAUGUCUUCGGACCAAAGAUUUAUGGCCUUUGGAUGGGCCCGCGUUGGAUUAGCUAGUUGGUAGGGUAAAAGCCUACCAAGGCGACGAUCCAUAGCUGGUCUGAGAGGAUGAUCAGCCACACUGGGACUGGGACACGGCCCAGACUCCUACGGGAGGCAGCAGUGGGGAAUAUUGGACAAUGGGCGAAAGCCUGAUCCAGCAAUGCCGCGUGAGUGAUGAAGGCCUUAGGGUUGUAAAGCUCUUUUACCCGGGAUGAUAAUGACAGUACCGGGAGAAUAAGCUCCGGCUAACUCCGUG
Molecule: ribosomal RNA, 433 nt
Filed under: uncultured bacterium
Lineage: Bacteria
Description: partial 16S ribosomal RNA
Rfam family: Bacterial small subunit ribosomal RNA
Source: RNAcentral